This 460-nucleotide ribosomal RNA is filed under the name uncultured bacterium. RNAcentral describes it as "partial 16S ribosomal RNA". It matches the Rfam family "Bacterial small subunit ribosomal RNA", at positions 338 to 795 of the family's 1533-position model. The record is from RNAcentral.
CCUACGGGAGGCAGCAGUGAGGAAUAUUGGUCAAUGGGCGCGAGCCUGAACCAGCCAAGCCGCGUGAGGGAGGACGGCCCUACGGGUUGUAAACCCCUUUUGCCGGGGAGCAAAGGGCGCCAUGUGUGGCGUCACUGAGAGUACCCGCAGAAAAAGCAUCGGCUAACUCCGGGCCAGCGGCCGCGGUAUUACGGAGGAUGCGAGCGUUAUCCGGAUUUAUUGGGUUUUAAGGGUGCGUAGGCGGAUCGUUAAGUCAGUGGUCAAAUUGUGGGGCUCAACCCCUUCCCGCCAUUGAAACUGGCGUUCUUGAGUGGAAGAGAAGUAUGCGGAAUGCGUGGUGUAGCGGUGAAAUGCAUAGAUAUCACGCAGAACCCCGAUUGCGAAGGCAGCAUGCCGGCUUCCGACUGACGCUGAGGCACGAAAGCGUGGGGAUCGAACAGGAUUAGAUACCCCUGUAGUC